RNAcentral lists this microRNA (21 nucleotides) under Tribolium castaneum (red flour beetle). RNAcentral's name for it is "tca-miR-3826-3p". The record is from miRBase by way of RNAcentral. Lineage: Eukaryota; Metazoa; Arthropoda; Insecta; Coleoptera; Tenebrionidae.
CUAUCCCCGACUACGCCUCGG